RNAcentral lists this ribosomal RNA (420 nucleotides) under Actinomycetales. Its description in RNAcentral is "bacterial SSU rRNA". It matches the Rfam family "Bacterial small subunit ribosomal RNA", at positions 9 to 447 of the family's 1533-position model. The record is from RNAcentral. Lineage: Bacteria; Bacillati; Actinomycetota; Actinomycetes.
GAGUUUGAUCCUGGCUCAGAAUCAACGCUGGCGGCGCGCUUAACACAUGCAAGUCGCACGAGAAAGGGGCAACCUGAGUAAAGUGGCGUACGGGUGAGUAACACGUGGGUAAUCUACCUCUUAGUGGGGAAUAACCUGGGGAAACCCGGGCUAAUACCGCAUAAGCUCGAGAGAGGAAAGCAGCAAUGCGCUGAGAGAGGAGCCCGCGGCCGAUUAGCUAGUUGGCAGGGUAAGAGCCUACCAAGGCAGAGAUCGGUAGCCGGCCUGAGAGGGCACACGGCCACACUGGCACUGAAACACGGGCCAGACUCCUACGGGAGGCAGCAGUGGGGAAUCUUGCACAAUGGGGGAAACCCUGAUGCAGCGACGCNGCGUGAGCGAUGAAGCCCUUCGGGGUGUAAAGCUCUUUCGGCAGGGACG